ACAAGCGGUGGAGCAUUGUGGUUUAACUCGAAGCAACGCGAACGAACCUUACCAGGUCUUGACAUCCGAUGCUAUUUCUAGAGAUAGAAGUUACUUCGGUACAUCGGUGACAGGUGGUGCAUGGUUGUCGUCAGCUCGCGUCGUGAGAUGUUGGGUUAAGUCCCGCAACGAGCGCAACCCCUAUUGUUAGUUGCCAUCAUUCAGUUGGGCACUCUAGCGAGACUGCCGGUAAUAAACCGGAGAAGUGGGGAUGACGUCAAAUCAUCAUGCCCCUUAUGACCUGGGCUACACACGUGCUACAAUGGUUGGUACAACGAGUUGCGAGUCGGUGACGGCGAGCUAAUCUCUUAAAGCCAAUCUCAGUUCGGAUUGUAGGCUGCAACUCGCCUACAUGAAGUCGGAAUCGCUAGUAAUCGCGGAUCAGCACGCCGCGGUGAAUACGUUCCCGGGCCUU
RNAcentral lists this ribosomal RNA (454 nucleotides) under uncultured Streptococcus sp. RNAcentral's name for it is "bacterial SSU rRNA". It matches the Rfam family "Bacterial small subunit ribosomal RNA", at positions 925 to 1382 of the family's 1533-position model. Lineage: Bacteria; Bacillati; Bacillota; Bacilli; Lactobacillales; Streptococcaceae. The record is from RNAcentral.